CCGUCCAUGGGCUGGAUUAACUGGCCAACGGGUGAGUAACACGUGAGUAACCUGCCCCUGACUCUGGGAAUAAGCGUUGGAAACGACGUCUAAUACUGGAUAUGAUCGCCGGCCGCAUGGUCUGGUGGUGGAAAGAUUUUUUGGUUGGGGAUGGACUCGCGGCCUAUCAGCUUGUUGGUGAGGUAAUGGCUCACCAAGGCGACGACGGGUAGCCGGCCUGAGAGGGUGACCGGCCACACUGGGACUGAGACACGGCCCAGACUCCUACGGGAGGCAGCAGUGGGGAAUAUUGCACAAUGGGCGAAAGCCUGAUGCAGCAACGCCGCGUGAGGGAUGACGGCCUUCGGGUUGUAAACCUCUUUUAGUAGGGAAGAAGCGAAAGUGACGGUACCUGCAGAAAAAGCACCGGCUAACUACGUGCCAGCAGCCGCGGUAAUACGUAGGGUGCAAGCGUUGUCCGGAAUUAUUGGGCGUAAAGAGCUCGUAGGCGGUUUGUCGCGUCUGCUGUGAAAUCCCGAGGCUCACCUCGGGCUUGCAGUGGGUACGGGCAGACUAAGUGCGGUAGGGGAAGAUUGGAAUUCCUGGUGUACGGUGGAAUGCGCAGAUAUCAGGAGGAACACCGAUGGCGAAGGCAGAUCUCUGGGCCGUAACUGACGCUGAGGAGCGAAAGCGUGGGGAGCGAACAGGAUUAAAACCCUGGUAGUCCCCGCCGAAACCUUGGGG
RNAcentral lists this ribosomal RNA (723 nucleotides) under Curtobacterium sp. 11ND5. RNAcentral's name for it is "bacterial SSU rRNA". It matches the Rfam family "Bacterial small subunit ribosomal RNA", at positions 76 to 813 of the family's 1533-position model. The record is from RNAcentral. Lineage: Bacteria; Bacillati; Actinomycetota; Actinomycetes; Micrococcales; Microbacteriaceae.